CCCUCUCCACUUCGAUUGACAGGACCAGGCAGUGAAAACGUCAUCACAUCUGGUCCUGUCAAUCAAAUUCGAGAGGUGGCAGUUUCAGAGAGAGCAGAGCCUCUAGGUGUAUUGGCAACGCCACCGUUGCUCCUAGAGGCUCAUUUGCAUAUAUUAAAACUUCCUUUUUCUCAACAAUGCAGGCACACAUGAACACGGGACCAACACAGAUGCCUUUAGUUGCCAA
Bufo bufo (common toad) is the source of this 226-nucleotide long non-coding RNA. RefSeq lists it as uncharacterized. Lineage: Eukaryota; Metazoa; Chordata; Amphibia; Anura; Bufonidae. The transcript has 3 exons. The record is from RefSeq and is a predicted model, not a curated record.